RNAcentral lists this long non-coding RNA (739 nucleotides) under Ovis aries (sheep). RNAcentral describes it as "lncRNA (ENSOARG00000026181.1)". The record is from RNAcentral. Lineage: Eukaryota; Metazoa; Chordata; Mammalia; Artiodactyla; Bovidae.
AUGAGGAGCAGGACAAAAGGCAGAGGAGAGGUUUGUCACCAGCAAAGCCCAUUAACAAUUUCCAGGGACUCGAGUGGGAGUGAUAAAAUAAAGUCUAACCUUUUCCUUUUCCUUGUGCUUAGUCCCUUUCACCGGUUCACCGGGUGCUGCGUGCUGGGGCCUCACACCUGGCACUUGACCUCAGAGUUCCUCUUGCAAAACGGCUGCCCCGACACCUCGCCUGGGCGGGCCGUGUGCAGAGACCGUGCCCACCACCCCUCAAUCCAGGGUGGGGCGGCGGGCCGUGUGCAGAAGCACUGUGCCCGGCACUGCCGUCUGGAGCCCGGGACUGCACACCUGGGGCUGCCUCACGAAAACCCCAUUCCCCCUCGAGAUUCCUAUAAAGCAGCCUGUCCAAGUACCACGACCCACACCUGUCCGCAAGAGCGUGUGCGCCCAGCAGGAGCCUGCAUCUCUCCAAUCAGCGAUGAAAGAAUAAGGCAUUUUUACCCUUUGCUUCUGAACCCAACUCUGUCUCGCUCCGCUGCCUCAAAGAACACGGGACAGGAGGACCCUCGUUGGCGAGCAACUCAAAAGGGUCCUCAUGCAGGAGCCUGGACUACCCUGUAGCUCAAAUGGGCCAUCACUUGCUGCUUACUCUAGUUCUGAAAGAGCUGCUGAAGAGCUAGGUGUGUCGUUCUUAUCAAGCUGGCCAACAAGGCACUGAUGCAAGAGGCAAGAAGACUGCCUUCAACCAAAG